AGAUACAUUGAUUCAAAGAUCCGUCUAAGAAACUCGACUGAAAGAUUCGACUCGUUUGCGAACGCCGAAUCUUUUACCUCAGAAGAUAUCAAAAACACUCGAAGAUUACUGUGAGCCAUGCAGUCGGAACGGCCCGCUAAGAUGGAAAGAUCCGCGAGCUCAACUCCGAAUGCUGUUUUCUCCUCACGCUAAAGGGUCGCUGGGAGCCUGGAGUCUAUCCCAUGGCGGGGGACAUGCUGGACGGGGUGCCAACUCAUCGCAGACACAUUUACACACUUCGGACCAUUCGGCAGUGCCGAUCAGCCUCGUCUUUGGACUGGCAGAGGAAACCAGAGUACCGAGUGGAAACCAGUGAAGCACGGGGAGAACAUCGCACACACGGGGCGGAGGCAGGAUUUGAACCCCCAACCCUGGAGGUACAUGGCAAACAGGUUAACCAGUAAGCCACCAUGUCCCUCUUAUGUUUAAUUAGUUCGAGGAAAAUAUAUCGAGAUAUAGGCAUUUGGUGUUAUGCCUGGUGAGUGUACACAGCUAGUGCAGUUAGCUAACAAAGCUAAUACAAAGCCUGGCGUGUAACAUUUAUCAAACAACCAAUUUUCAUACAUUAAUCUAUUUAAAAUACAUUUUAAGCAAAAGUAAAACGCAUACCGUAGUAAAUUGUGUGCUGUAGUCUAUACAUUUUGGCUGCUAUGCUUUCUCAUCAGAAAUAAAAACACUGGACGUCCACAAGAGACAGACCACAAGCGACAUGAGCACCUUGUUGCUAGCUACU
This is a long non-coding RNA of Ictalurus furcatus (blue catfish), 772 nucleotides long. RefSeq lists it as uncharacterized. Lineage: Eukaryota; Metazoa; Chordata; Actinopteri; Siluriformes; Ictaluridae. The transcript has 3 exons. The record is from RefSeq and is a predicted model, not a curated record.